GCGGCCGAGAGCCCCCUCCAGCGUUCAGCAGCGCGCCCUGCCUGGCGCGGCCGCUCCCCUCCGCCCCUGGCGCGGCGGCAGCCCGGGGCUCAGCGCCCGGCGGCAGGGAGGGGGCAGUUGCCUCUUGCCGCCCGGGAGGCGGCGGCGGCGCCUGCCUGCUAUUGGCGGGCUGGUUCCUGAGCGGUUGGACGCUGUGGGGUCCAAAGUGUCGGUCUCCUCUCAGCCCUCCACGGGGUGGGGAAGGCGCUCGGCUCUGUGCCCCCCCUGCCCUGGAGAAAAAGAUCCAUGCAAAUCUAGGAACCCAUUAAAAGCACUAGCUUUUAACUCUAAAAGAAGGCCACACACUUCAAUGCAUGAACAGAUAAAUGCCAAAUUUAUCAAGAGGCAUGGCCCUACUCUAUCAUUCCCUAAAUGCCUGUCCGGAUUAGUCAGAGGCUUCAAAGAAACAGAAGAGGAUAGAUGUAGGGGUAAUAUACUCACGUUUUCCAUUUGCUGAAAAAGGGCAAAAGGGUUAUAUUCCAAACCUGGAUUCUCAUGGACAACUGUGAAAUGCAUCCAAUAUUUGACAAGAGAUUUAGCUCAAAUGUCAGAUUGUGGGAAGAGGAGGAAAUUGAAUGAAUAAGAACCACACAGCACUGAACUUUUACACAAGCUUCUUAUUGUAUUUGAAUGUCAUUUAUUGAGGAGUGAAUGAGAUACUGCCAGACAUGCCAAAGACACUUCACAUUCAAGG
This is a long non-coding RNA of Mauremys reevesii (Reeves's turtle), 733 nucleotides long. RefSeq lists it as uncharacterized. NCBI's taxonomy places the organism in Eukaryota, Metazoa, Chordata, Testudines, Geoemydidae. The transcript is spliced from 4 exons. The record is from RefSeq and is a predicted model, not a curated record.